CUAUUUGGUACCGCUUGCAGGGCGGCGACCACGAGUUACCUGCCCCUAUACAAUGAGUUAAUUGCCCCUGUAUUUCAUCUGUUAAGUUGUACUUAAAAUAGGCUAACUCUUGCGCAAAAAAAGAUAGAAAAUAUCAAAUAUGGGAAAGCGGGACGAUAGACCAAACAUAUCUACGAAGAGACCGUUGUUGCCGGAAAUAUCUCUGUCUUUAGUAGUGUCCGCGAGGUAUAUUAAUUUAUAAAACAUGAGAUAUUAGUACCAUAUUGCCCGGGAAUCAAAAGAUUUUUGCAAGAUCGGUAAGUAUAUUCAAUAUAGGCUAAACAAGCACAAGGCCAGGGCACGUGGUAAGUCAUUCCGCAGCGCAGGAAUGACCAAAACUAGCCUACUACGGUACCAUUUACAGAAAUUACCAAAAAAAUGACAAAAAUUACCGAGAGAGGAGCUAAAAUUACCUCAGUAAUACAUGACAUUUACUAUCAUAUUCACAUUAAAAAUGUUGGUCCCUCCUUUGACGACUUCAAUAAUUUUUAAUUUCGGUCAUAUCUUUGGUAUUUUCUGUGAACGUUUGUAAUUUCGGACAUUAUAUGUAACAAUCCUACUAUUCAUUCCACAAUGAAGGCCAGUGGGCCUAGAUUUUUAAUUUGAUACACGUAUAAACUUAACACUGCGCAAGUUACGUCACGGAAUGCAGUAUAGGGGAGGAGAAAAUAUUUGGCUGGACCAGGAGUCGAACCUAGGAUCCCUGCAUUACUAGUCAGGUGCUCUAACCACUGAGCUAUCCAGGUCGAUAUCCACGGUCCGUGUAGCCCUAACUACUAAAUUCCUCCCUUUAAUUUGUUUUUGCCGUCGAAGACACACAACCCAGAUUCAUUUCAACCCUGGCAGGACAAGAGUAGUCAUGGCACCAACUGGUAAAAUCUUACACAGAGGUCCCUAGGUUCAAUUCCCGAUCCAGCCACAAAUUUUCUCCGUGUAUGUCUAUCUGAGACUGAGUUGGAAAAUUACGGUAUCUUCAUAGUGACAAACUAAUGAAAAUAUUGAUCAAAUUCGACUGGUCAAGGACUGUUAAUAUAAAUAAAUUUGAAACAUUGGUCAUUGUAAUGAUUGGUUUCAUGUUAUACUAAGCUUGUGUUUCAAGACAAGGCUGUCUUUGUUGGUGAUGAUACUGAUGUAUAUAUUUAGAAACAAGUAAUGCUUUGAUUUUGAUUACAGGUGUGGUCUUUAAAAAAAUUAAUGCAUGGCAAGGUUGAUAGUGAGACUAAUAAAUUCUUUCAGCAGAAUUCAGCUAGACACAAAAAAAAGACAAUCACUACAGCCUUCCAAGAAGAUGGACUACCUCACAAUAGUUUCCUUGAGGACUGUCUUGAAAUAUCCAGAGUUUAAGAUUCAAGAAACGGACUCUAUCUGGAAAAGGAAAACAAUAUCAAAGCUCCUCUGUGAGAAGCAUUCAGAAGAAAGUGGAGAUUCAUUGUUUUUACCAGAUCCAGCAGAUCACAGAGAGCAUCUAGUAGGGGAGUUUCCAGGAUUAAGCCAGCCAGUAGAUGAGACUAUUAUAUCAAAAAUACAUUUACUUGUACCCGAGGGCACACAAAGCGUUGAUGAAACAAAAAGACAUUUCCGUCUGUUUGUAAAGGAUACUAUUUCACCAGGGAACACCAUCUCAGAAUUUAACAGAUGCUUUUACCCCGCCAAUAAGGAUGUAAGAAAUCACAUUUACAGGGCACCGAGAUUUUGCCAGGUAGUUUAGAACUGUGUGCAUUGGUUUUGGAAGAAUUUGGGCUGUUUAGGCUUAAAUCCAUUAUGAUUGGACAGAAUAUGAACACACACAUCCAAUACUUCAAAGAUAUUAUGUUUGUGGAGGCAGAGAUUUUGAUUGCAUCCACUGUUUAGAAUACAUCCUUAAGGGAAGCAGACUGCUGCCUUUACCCAAUGAUAUAAUGAUUAAUCAUAACUAUAUCUGUUUUGUACCAAAUAGAAAGAGCAUUGAUUCAGGCCAUUUUCAAAUCCACUGGCAUACAUUGUACUAUACAUGCAACCUUUUCAAACUUUACAUUUAAGAUUUUAUAAAGGAAAUAUCUUAAUGUUUCACAUGUUUACCUUUCACUGUGCUAUGUAAUUCAUUAUACCUGCCAUUAUGCCAGUCUUCCUGAACAUAAUUUGUUUUCUGCAAUUUCAUUGGCCAAGAGGCUUAAUCCUGGGUUAUCAGAUUGAGCAUUUAUAUUUAGUAUCCCAUUGAUUUUGUCAGCCCUAUAUAAGGAGCUGACUCAGAUUUACUCACUCUGCUAGGUUAAAGAACUCUAAGGUUUGUACUUUUCACAUGAAUUUCGUGUUCGCCUCUUAUCUUUUACAUAGAGUAGGAAAUGAACAUAACAUUGAGUUAGGGAACUAUUUAGAUUUUACAUUAUAAUAUGUAAAUACAUGUACCUUAGCAGAGUCAAUUUACUUGGUUCAGGGUAGUAUCAGAUAUUACUUUUUCAGAGUUUAAGUGUUUAGGCUAUCUCAAUGUUUCUAUAGUUAGCCUUGUCCUAUGUUACUUUUAGAUGUAUGGAAGCCUUUUAGUGUUAUAACACUAUAUUUAUGCCCCCAUUCAAAGAAGAGGGGCAUAUUGGUUUGCACCUGUUGGUCGGUCGGUAGACCACAUGUUGUCCGCUUAAUAUCUUAAGAACCAUUCACUUGAUCGUAAUAUAUUUCAUAUGUGGGUUGGUUAUGAAAAGAAGAGGACCCCAAUUGUUUUUCAGGUCGAAAUGUCAAGGGUCAAUCUACUCUGGACAUAGGAAGACACUGCCUGCUCAAUAUCUUGAGAACCCUUUGCUUGACAGACACCAAACUUGGUACACUGGUACAUCUCAAGGAGUAGAUUUGAGGUCAUAUGGUCAAAAGUCAAGGGGUAAACUGGACGUAGUAAUAUAUUGUCUCUUAUGUUUUAAGAAUUAUUUGCUUGAUUGACACCAAACCUGGUACAGCAUAAGGAGUAGAUGACCCCUAUUGAUUUUUAGGUCACUUGGUCAAUCCACUCCUGACAUAGGAAGAUAUUGUUUGCUCAAUAUUUCGAAUUGAUGAUACUACUAUCAAUCAAAUUAUGCAUGUGUAUAACCCUUUUCAAUUUUGCACCAUGGGGGCUUAUAUGUUUUACAAACACCUCAUGUUUUAUAGUUUGUGAAAGCUUGUUAGGGUCAUAACUUUAGAUUUUCUUAUUAUGGUACUUGCCCGUCAGAGACUGGACAUAUUAUGGUAUGGUGUUGUCUGUCCGGACCUUGUAAGAUGGGAUACAGACUGAACCGUAAGCUCUAGAAUCUUACAACUUGGUACAUUUGAUCACCAUAGAAGGAAGAUGCUUAUUGUUUUUUAAGGUCAAGGUUGUAGGUUCACUUAAUAGGAAAACCUUGUUUGAGAAAAUUACAGAUUCUUGAACUGAGUAUUUUGAGGAAACAUUACAUAGAAAGUACAUGAUUUGUCAAAUUUCUCCCAAUAUUCAACUGAGAACUUUAUUCUGCAGAGUAUUUGUAUGGGUAUGGAAAAUGUGUAUGUGGCUAUGAUUUUGAUUUUUGUUUAAUUUGUUGUUGUUGAAAAUUACAGGUUUAACCGAGUCAGUUUUUGAGGAAAUAUACAUGUAUUAAAUAAAUGACGGUUUGACCUUUUAACUCCUCUCACAGUUUUGAAGCUAGGGUCUUUGUAAAUAACUUCUUUGGUGUUUUAGAAUAUUUACAGAUUGUUGAUCAUGGUCAAUUUUGGGGAAAUAUUUUCCGCAGAGCUCUAGUUGUCUAUCUACCGGCCUCCUGUCACUUUUAAGUUUAGGAGCUUUUAUUCAUGGAAAGAAAGUAUGCGACAACCUGAUGAUGGCUGAUACUAUUUAAAGCCUUUUUAUACGUCCGUCUUAAGACGGGACGUAUUAUGGUAUGGCGUUCAUGUCCGUCCGUCUGUUAGCUUUUUCGUGUCCGACCCGUAACUUAAAUACUACAAGGCCUAGAAUCAUCAAACUUUGUCUGUAGAUACAUCUUGGGUAGAAGGUGUGUCGCACAUUAAAACCAGGUCACUGUGACUUUUCAUUAAGAAGAUAUCCGUCUGUCCGUCCGUCCGUCUGUUAGCUUUUUCGUGUCCGACCCGUAACUUAAAUACUACAAGGCCUAGAAUCAUCAAACUUUGUCUGUAGAUACAUCUUGGGUAGAAGGUGUGUCGCACAUUAAAACCAGGUCACUGUGACUUUUCAUUAAGAAGAUAUCCGUCUGUCCGUCCGUCUGUUAGCUUUUUCGUGUCCGACCCAUAACUUAAUUACUACAAGGCCUAGAAUCAUCAAACUUUGUCUGUAGAUACAUCUUGGGUAGAAGGUGUGUCGCACAUUAAAACCAGGUCACUGUGACUUUUCAUUAAGAAGAUAUGGCCAUAUAUGGCAAAAACUUGUCCGACUCAUAACUUGAAAACUAUUAGACCUAGAAUCACCAAAAUUGGUCAACUAAUGCAUCUUAGGUAGAAGGUGUGUCGCACAUUAAAACCAGGUCACUGUGACUUUUCAUUAAGAAGAUAUGGCCAUAUAUGGCAAAAACUUGUCCGACUCAUAACUUGAAAACUAUUAGACCUAGAAUCACCAAAAUUGGUCAACUAAUGCAUCUUAGGUAGAAGGUGUGUCGCACCCUACUUUAAGGUCACUGUGACAUUUAAUUAAGGUGAUAUAAAAAAAAAUGUUUUAAUGGGUACAAUCUAUACUGUUAACAAUAUGUGACGGGCAUAUCAUGUGCCGUGGCGGUGCACUUUAUUCUAGAAAUGGCAUAAGAAAAACACCCUAUGUAACCUUUUCUGCUUGUACUCAUUUAUUUUUAUUGGAAAACUUAUUACUUGUUAUCAGCUACUCUAAAACAAUAUUGACUUGUGCUAUAAUAAAUUUGUAAACUUUA
Ostrea edulis (European flat oyster) is the source of this 4889-nucleotide RNA transcript. RefSeq lists it as uncharacterized. The record is from RefSeq and is a predicted model, not a curated record. The transcript has 6 exons. Lineage: Eukaryota; Metazoa; Mollusca; Bivalvia; Ostreida; Ostreidae.